UACGUAGGCGGAAAAUUAAGUCAGUGGUGAAAUCCUGCAGCUCAACUGUAGAACUGCCAUUGAUACUGAUCUUCUUGAAUUUAGUUGAGGUGGGCGGAACGUGUAAUGUAGCGGUGAAAUGCUUAGAUAUUACACAGAACACCGAUUGCGAAGGCAGCUCACUAAACUAACAUUGACGCUGAGGCACGAAAGCGUGGGUAGCGAACAGGAUUAGAUACCCUGGUAGUCC
This 229-nucleotide ribosomal RNA is filed under the name uncultured bacterium. RNAcentral describes it as "partial 16S ribosomal RNA". It matches the Rfam family "Bacterial small subunit ribosomal RNA", at positions 568 to 796 of the family's 1533-position model. The record is from RNAcentral.